GCUUAGUCGUAAACCCAAUUGGUUCAAUAACAAGACCAUUCGCCAGAGUACUACCGGCAACAGCCUAAAACUCAAAAGACUUGGCGGUGCUUCACAUCCUUCUAGAGGAGCCUGUUCUAUAAACGAUAAACCCCGAUAAACCUCACCAACUCUUGCUACUUCAGUCUAUAUACCGCCAUCUCAAGCAAACCCUAAAAAGGAAUGAAAGUAAGCACAACUAUCUCUCACAAAAACGUUAGGUCAAGGUGUAACCUAUGGGUUGGAAAGAAAUGGGCUACAUUUUCUAUAACAAGAACAUCCUCAUAAAUGAUACGAAAGUUUUUAUGAAACCUAAAAACUAAAGGAGGAUUUAGCAGUAAACUAAGAAUAGAGUGCUUAUUUGAACAAGGCCAUGAAGCACGC
RNAcentral lists this ribosomal RNA (402 nucleotides) under Pontoporia blainvillei (franciscana). Its description in RNAcentral is "partial 12S ribosomal RNA". It matches the Rfam family "Bacterial small subunit ribosomal RNA", at positions 794 to 1384 of the family's 1533-position model. The record is from RNAcentral. Lineage: Eukaryota; Metazoa; Chordata; Mammalia; Artiodactyla; Pontoporiidae.